RNAcentral lists this ribosomal RNA (446 nucleotides) under uncultured bacterium. RNAcentral describes it as "partial 16S ribosomal RNA". It matches the Rfam family "Bacterial small subunit ribosomal RNA", at positions 338 to 795 of the family's 1533-position model. The record is from RNAcentral.
CCUACGGGAGGCAGCAGUCGAGAAUCAUUCACAAUGGGGGAAACCCUGAUGGUGCGACGCCGCGUGGGGGAAUGAAGUUCUUCGGAUUGUAAACCCCUGUCAUGUGGGAGCAAAUUAAAAAGAUCGUACCACCAGAGGAAGAGACGGCUAACUCUGUUCCAGCAGCGGCGGUACUACAGAGGUCUCAAGCGUUGUUCGGAAUCACUGGGCGUAAAGCGUGCGUAGGCUGUUUCGUAAGUCGUGUGUGAAAGGCGCGGGCUCAACCCGCGGACGGCACAUGAUACUGCGAGACUAGAGUGAGCGAGGGGGAAGCGGAAUGCGUGGUGUAGCAGUGAAAUGCGUAGAUAUCGAGAGGAACACUCGUGGCGAAGGCGGGUUCCUGGACAUUAACUGACGCUGAGGCACGAAGGCCAGGGGAGCGAAAGGGAUUAGAUACCCGAGUAGUC